GAUGAACGCUGGCGGCGUGCCUAAUACAUGCAAGUCGAGCGAACAGACGAGGAGCUUGCUCCUCUGACGUUAGCGGCGGACGGGUGAGUAACACGUGGAUAACCUACCUAUAAGACUGGGAUAACUUCGGGAAACCGGAGCUAAUACCGGAUAAUAUAUUGAACCGCAUGGUUCAAUAGUGAAAGACGGUUUUGCUGUCACUUAUAGAUGGAUCCGCGCCGCAUUAGCUAGUUGGUAAGGUAACGGCUUACCAAGGCAACGAUGCGUAGCCGACCUGAGAGGGUGAACGGCCACACGGGAACUGAGAAACGGUCCCGACUCCUACGGGGAGCAGCAGUAGGGAAUCUUACGCGAGGGGCGAGAGCCUGACGGAGCAACGCCGCGUGAGUGAUGAAGGUCUUAGGAUCGUAAAGCUCUGUUAUUAGGAAAGAACAAAUGUGUAAGUAACUAUGCACGUCUUGACGGUACCUGAUCAGAAAGCCACGGCUAACUACGUG
RNAcentral lists this ribosomal RNA (497 nucleotides) under uncultured bacterium. Its description in RNAcentral is "partial 16S ribosomal RNA". It matches the Rfam family "Bacterial small subunit ribosomal RNA", at positions 28 to 507 of the family's 1533-position model. The record is from RNAcentral.